UACGGGGGGGGCAAGCGUUGUUCGGAAUUACUGGGCGUAAAGGGCGCGUAGGCGGCCUGCUAAGUCGGAUGUGAAAUCCCUCGGCUCAACCGGGGAACUGCAUCCGAUACUGGCGGGCUUGAAUCCGGGAGAGGGAUGUGGAAUUCCAGGUGUAGCGGUGAAAUGCGCAGAUAUCGGGAGGAACACCAAUGGCGAAGGCAGCUUGCUGGGACGGUACUGACGCUGAGGCGCGAAAGCGUGGGGAGCAAACAGG
Molecule: ribosomal RNA, 253 nt
Filed under: uncultured bacterium
Lineage: Bacteria
Description: partial 16S ribosomal RNA
Rfam family: Bacterial small subunit ribosomal RNA
Source: RNAcentral